GCCCAUUUCUUCGGUCUGUGUCUGACGAUGAAGGUUUUUUUAACUGUGCCUAAAGGUUUUUUUCAUGGGUAUAUCAUCAACUAGGAUGGAUCCAGAGCCGUCACGAAGAGUUUUGAGGAGCAGCUCCAAUCGAAACUCUGGUGCUAACAGCAGGGAACGCUCAGUGGAUCUGAUAACCAUCGAGGACCAUGUUGACAGAAGUAAUGCGGACUCAGUAUAUUUCUUACGAUGGUUUUACAAUCCUGAUGAUAAUGACUAUGCUGAAUUAGAUGAUACUGAAGAUGACUACGAUGAUACAGAAGGAGACGAUGAUGACAGUUAUGAUGACAUGGUCAAUAUCCAUUUUGAUGGGAUCCCAAUGCGUAGAUCCAUUCCUCAUCCUCGUACCGAUUUGAAACCGAAUACCACCAAAUUGAAGAAUAGUGACUUCUAUUUGUUGAUGCAACAAAAUGCUGGACUCCGGCACAACAAAGCCAAAGAGAGGCCUAACAGUGUUCUACAGAUGAUUCAAGCCAGACAGGUCAGUCUUGUUCUCUUAACCAAAACAUUAUUGUAAUCUAUCUCAAAUGAUUUCACCCUUUUCAUCUGCUCGCACUCAAAGCAAUGAAGGUAUCUUUGGAGCAGAUGAAUGCGAAUGCGGUCCCUUUUAUGUCACCAUUUAUUUAAAAUCCCUUCAUUCAUUGAGGUGAAGACCCAUAGGUUUAUGCAUCAUUGAUGUCACCAAUGUAUAAACUUAGACUAUGAAUCUAUGACAAAGUAUGAAAACAUGGAUAAAUCUUUUCAUCAGUGUCAGUGCCAAACUGUAAAUGAAUCCGUCAGUGUAUAUAUAUAUAUAUAUAUAUUCUAUGUAAAGACGUUUAUAGCCUGUGACGCUGAAUGUCCCAAAAUAUACUAACUAACUAUAUAUUUAUAUAAAUAUAAAUGAGAACUGUUUUAUGGUUGUUAAAAUACAUAUGGAUAGGGUUUUAAAUGAGAUGCACAACCUUUACACAUAUAACUUAAAUAGAGGUUAUGUUUACGUUCCGCGCGCGACUGUUUCGACUCCCGAAAUAUCAAGUUUUUUCCCUGGAAAACGACAGAAAUUAUAUGAUUGUGAUACGUGAAAAAGUUCGUUAAAAAUUGAUCUUCAAGCGCAUGAUAUUUCUCCGGCAAUCCGGUGUAGUGUGGAGGAGUAGUGAAUGGAAUUAAGUGUGUUACCAGUGCAUGGAACAUUCUAGAACCUCAACCACGGCAAUCAGCUGUUUCUCGAAAGCUUUCCAAGCAUGCGUAUGGAAAUACUUGUCGCGGCCGUGUUUUGGUAAAGUGCCGAACUCAAUCUUGAUAACAGUACGCGACCGAUGCAGUGCGGACAUCGCGGCUGUCAAUAACCUGGCGCGAUCGGGUGGUGAAAAGCUGAAACUCAAGGUAAAUAAACAAUUGGAGUGAUCUUGCGUUCUUCGCCCGCGAAUGUUUGUAAUCAGGACUGUUAGUUAGAGGAGUGCCGCGCGAGUCCCAACCAGUCAGAAAGUCGAUACUUAACAUACUAACUUGAACAUUGUAGAGCAAAUUAGUGAUCAGGAUGAACAUGGAAGAAAUGAAAGCCCUGCUGGUCCAGAUGCGGGAAGAAAUUAAAGGAGAUGUGGAGCAGAUUGUAAAAAAAGAAAUUGCUCAAAUUCAUGAAGAAAACACCAAACGUUACGAGGAACUAAAGAGUGAAAACCAACAAUUAAAAGUAGCACUAGCUAAGCAUUGUGAAACCAUCAGCAAAAUGAAUCGGUUGAACAAUGUAGUACUCCAUGGCAUGCCUGAGGGGGAACGAGAACAACGAAAUGAGCUGGAAAAUAAAGUG
Molecule: long non-coding RNA, 1828 nt
Filed under: Bemisia tabaci
Lineage: Eukaryota; Metazoa; Arthropoda; Insecta; Hemiptera; Aleyrodidae
Description: lncRNA ENSSSA1UGG008171
Source: RNAcentral